Molecule: non-coding RNA, 726 nt
Organism: Chlorocebus sabaeus (green monkey)
Lineage: Eukaryota; Metazoa; Chordata; Mammalia; Primates; Cercopithecidae
Source: RefSeq, a predicted model, not a curated record
UUUGUUAUUCUUAACAAUACAGAGAAUGACAUUAAGAUUUUGAUAUUUCGAUUAAACUUUGAGAUCACAGAAACAGGCUUAAGGAACAAAGAUCACUGAACUGGGAACCAAGAUUCCUUCUAGUCCCGCAGCCCUGACACCAUUUUACCAUGCUUCAGUCUCCUUACCCAUGGCAUGGGAAUAGGACCUGUUUUAGCCCAACUUCUCUACCUCUUUCCCCCUUAUUCCCACAUUUUGGGAUCUUGUCUUUCCCAUCCUCCUGUUUUAUAGACUAGAGUACAAGUACUCCAAGCUGGUGAUGAAUGCUACCCUCAAGGACUGUGACCUGCCAGCAGCUGACAGCUGUGCCAUCAUGGAAGGCGAGGAUGUGGAAGACGACCUCAUAUUUACCAGCAAGAAGUCACUCUUUGGGAAGAUCAAAUCAUUUACCUCCAAGAGGACUCCUGAUGGAUUUGACUCAGUGCCGCUGAAGACAUCCUCAGGAGGCCCAGACAUGGACCUGUGAGAGGCACUGCCUGCCUCACCUGCCUCCUCACCUUGCAUAGCACCUUUGCAAGCCUGCGGCGAUUUGGGUGCCAGCAUCCUGCAACACCCACUGCUGGAAAUCUCUUCAUUGUGGCCUUAUCAGAUGUUUGAAUUUCAGAUCUUUUUUUUAUAGAGUACCCAAACCCUCCUUUCUGCUUGCCUCAAACCUGCCAAAUAUACCCACACUUUGUUUGUAAAUUA